UCCCUGACAGUCCAGUGGUUAAGACUCUGUACUUGCAAUGCAGGAGUGCAGGUUUGAGCCCUGGUCAGGGAA
Molecule: transfer RNA, 72 nt
Organism: Ovis aries (sheep)
Lineage: Eukaryota; Metazoa; Chordata; Mammalia; Artiodactyla; Bovidae
Rfam family: tRNA
About the family: Transfer RNA (tRNA) molecules are approximately 80 nucleotides in length. Their secondary structure includes four short double-helical elements and three loops (D, anti-codon, and T loops).
Source: Rfam